Molecule: ribosomal RNA, 374 nt
Filed under: uncultured organism
Description: bacterial SSU rRNA
Rfam family: Bacterial small subunit ribosomal RNA
Source: RNAcentral
CGGGGGGGCGAAGCGUUGUUCGGAAGUUACUGGGCGUAAGGGACGUCGUAGGCGGCCAACUAAGUCGGACGUGAAAUCCCCAGGCUCAACCUGGGAACUGCGUCCGAUACUGGAUGGCUUGAAUCCGGGAGAGGGAUGCAGAAUUCCAGGUGUAGCGGUGAAAUGCGUAGAUAUCUGGAGGAAUACCGGUGGCGAAGGCGGCAUCCUGGACCGGCAUUGACGCUGAGGAGCGAAAGCCAGGGGAGCAAACGGGAUUAGAUACCCCGGUAGUCCUGGCCCUAAACGAUGAAUGCUUGGUGUAACGGGUAUCGAUCCCUGUUGUGCCGAAGCUAACGCAUUAAGCAUUCCGCCUGGGGAGUACGGUCGCAAGGCUG